AUAAAAGACUCAAUCCGAUAAGAUAACUUCAAAGGGGAAACUCAAUUCAUCACAAGAGAGUAGAGGGGGAGAAACAUCAUAAGAUCCAACUACAAUAGCAAAGCUCGGGAUACAUCAAGAUCGUGCCAUAGAGGGAACACGAGAGAGAGAGAGAGAUCAAACACAUAGCUACUAGUACAUACCCUUAGCCCCGAGGGUGAACUACUCCCUCAUCGUCAUGGAGAGCGCCGGGAUGAUGAAGAUGGCCACCGGUGAUGGGUUCCCCCUCCGGCAGGGUGCCGGAACGGGCUCCCGAGAGGUUUUUGGUGGCUACAGAGGCUUGCGGCGGCGGAACUCCUGAUCUAUCUUCUCCAUAGAUGUUUUUAGGGUACAUGGGAC
This 378-nucleotide ribosomal RNA is filed under the name Triticum aestivum (bread wheat). RNAcentral describes it as "partial small subunit ribosomal RNA". Lineage: Eukaryota; Viridiplantae; Streptophyta; Magnoliopsida; Poales; Poaceae. The record is from RNAcentral.